GAUGAACGCUGGCGGCGUGCCUAAUACAUGCAAGUCGAGCGAACGGACGAGAAGCUUGCUUCUCUGAUGUUAGCGGCGGACGGGUGAGUAACACGUGGAUAACCUACCUAUAAGACUGGGAUAACUUCGGGAAACCGGAGCUAAUACCGGAUAAUAUUUUGAACCGCAUGGUUCAAAAGUGAAAGACGGUCCUGCUGUCACUUAUAGAUGGAUCCGCGCUGCAUUAGCUAGUUGGUAAGAUAACGGCUUACCAAGGCAACGAUGCAUAGCCGACCUGAGAGGGUGAUCAGCCACACUGGAACUGAGACACGGUCCAGACUCCUACGGGAGGCAGCAGUAGGGAAUCUUCCGCAAUGGGCGAAAGCCUGACGGAGCAACGCCGCGUGAGUGAUGAAGGUCUUCGGAUCGUAAAACUCUGUUAUUAGGGAAGAACAUAUGUGUAAGUAACUGUGCACAUCUUGACGGUACCUAAUCAGAAAGCCACGGCUAACUACGUG
This 497-nucleotide ribosomal RNA is filed under the name uncultured bacterium. RNAcentral describes it as "partial 16S ribosomal RNA". It matches the Rfam family "Bacterial small subunit ribosomal RNA", at positions 28 to 507 of the family's 1533-position model. The record is from RNAcentral.